UUUUGGGGUCCCUCCUUGGGAGGGGUUCCUGAUAUUGGGGUGGGGGAAUUGUGGGUCUGGGGGGGAACUGAAGCCCCCUCAACAUUUUUCUCUCCUUCCACAGUGCCUCAGUGAUGGUGACAAAAAACGGCCAGCGCCAUCCUGCAGAGCCACAAGCCCAUGGUGGUGAGGAAGAAGAGUGUGUGGGUGACGAAGGCCCCGUGAGCCCCCCAAAAAUAAAGAAUCUGAGCAAUC
Molecule: long non-coding RNA, 234 nt
Organism: Passer montanus (Eurasian tree sparrow)
Lineage: Eukaryota; Metazoa; Chordata; Aves; Passeriformes; Passeridae
Exons: 2
Source: RefSeq, a predicted model, not a curated record